This 22-nucleotide non-coding RNA is filed under the name Arabidopsis thaliana (thale cress). Lineage: Eukaryota; Viridiplantae; Streptophyta; Magnoliopsida; Brassicales; Brassicaceae. The record is from RNAcentral.
UCCACUGAUGUACCUUGCCACU